CGAGACGGGUUUCACGGGUGCGAAGAGCUGCCCCAACUUCGUUGCAGCCCAAACCGAGAACCCGAGUGCAACAGAUUAAGUACACUUCCCUCGGAGUGGGGCCGAGCCUCGUUAGUUGAUCGACAGGAGUUUUUAUCUUAAGAUAGAGUCCGAAACGAACUGGCCACAAAUGAACAAAAUUAAUAUAGUUGAGCGCAGGCAUUCACCAGUAAUAUUGUUAUUAGAAAAUCUCCCUUAUAUAGAAAAGAAAGAAGAUAUGACACAUCCAAUAUCCUCUAAAUUCUCCUCUACAAGAGGCCUUUUCAUUCAAGUCCCGCCUACGCUGUGUCAUUCCCCCAUUUUUAAUGAUAUGGCCAACGAUGCAGUACAUCCGACUCCGAGAUGGAGUAAAGGCCACUGAUAUGGGGCGUCAAUGUUGAAGAGUCUCAGCUCCGUCUUUUAAGCUCUCUCCUUCCAGUCCGUUCUGCAAGCGAAAAAUACAAGCUCAGCACAACUUGCUAUUGAAUAUAGUAACCAAAUGCACAAACAAAUAGAAGUGAAACGAGAAAGCCAAGGCCUAGCGCGAGUGGUAAGAGCGAACGGCUUCCUAAGCCAAUGGACUGGAUUCCAGCCUCCUUGAGAGGUGGUGGUUGAAAUCCUUUGAUCCCCCCUAAAAAACGGGGAGGUAAAGAAGGCUGGAAUGCAGCAACUCAAAAAAAGUCGAAACAUUUUUACAUCAGAUUCUUAAACAAUAAGACCAAAAAGCAGUAAUUUCUGUGUUUCAAAGUAAAUGCCAUCUUUUCCAGUUCAGGGCACGUUUCAAAUUGAAUACCUGGCUGUCAUCCUAAAAAUUUAUAUAAGAUUAAAAAAAAAAAAAUUCUCCAUAUAAGGUAGGAUUCAUAUUUGUGCAGGUCAGUAAAUCACAGUAACAAACAUUUCGAAAGUAUUCAUCAUUUUUUUACAUACAACCACCUAAGCGGUGAGAUGUUAGCUGGAUCUCUGCUUAUUAUUUAUUAAAAGAAACAAGACAAGAAGAAUUGACGUUAUUCACGCAUUUUAUUCAACAAGUAAAAGGAGCUAAAGUAGAAUUUCUCAAGACAUGGAUAUGAUAAGAAGUUAGGAUUAUGCCAACCUCUAAGGGAAAACUAUAUAUUAC
This 1135-nucleotide long non-coding RNA is filed under the name Olea europaea subsp. europaea. The record is from RNAcentral. Lineage: Eukaryota; Viridiplantae; Streptophyta; Magnoliopsida; Lamiales; Oleaceae.